AGCCAUUUGCGUAACUGUCCAGAGGCUUCACAAAGAGCUUCAGUACGCAUCGCAAGGGGCUUGACCGCAUAAGCGCAGUAUUACGGAGAGACUGAGCAGGGUCACCUUUUUCAUCUGUAGAGGAUAAGUGUGUGAUUACCCCUGUUGGGGCUGCUGUGCAUUCAUGGCCUUUUGGCAUUUGUGGACCUGAGGGUGGUUUUUUAUUUUUCUGGCUCUCGUCUCUGUGUUUGAGUCCUCUGCAAGGAGCUGUACUGUUUGCUUGUCCAUCACGGAUAUGACCUUCUUGUAGCCCAGGGCAUGGGCAUGGACACUUGAAUGAGGCACGAGGGCUUUGGAAGCACCUUGCAACAGCAGAGUACAUCUCCUGCCACGUUCCUGUGGCGCGCCAGGCGUCAGCGGUUCCAGUUCGUGAAAUGCUGGAGAUGCUCGGAGCGCAAGAGGAGCUGGGAGCGUGAUGCAUCAAAUUGGUAUGUUAGCUACGUGACCUUGGCUCAGCACAGUAAAUGGAAGCGCUAAGCCUGGAUCGGGAAGGUGAAGAGGAGCCUUAUGCCGGAAGCAAUGUCCUGGCUAGCCUUUGUGUUCCUUGAUAAGGAUGGAACCUGCCUCCCAUCAUUCCCAAGCUAAGU
Cygnus atratus (black swan) is the source of this 626-nucleotide long non-coding RNA. RefSeq lists it as uncharacterized. The record is from RefSeq and is a predicted model, not a curated record. The transcript is spliced from 4 exons. Lineage: Eukaryota; Metazoa; Chordata; Aves; Anseriformes; Anatidae.